AAAAAGGCAAACAUUAGUUUUUCGUGUUCAACUUUGAUUGUCCGUCUUAUAUAAAUUUUUUUAUAAUUCGUAUUUUUAUUAUUGUUAGAUGAUAAAACAUGAUUAAUAUUUUAUGCGUAACUUGUCUUUUUAUUUUUUUCAUAAUUUUUUUAAAUAAGACGGACACGUUGGACACGGAAACCAUGGUUUGUCUUUUU
MicroRNA precursor from Oryza sativa Japonica Group (Japanese rice), 197 nucleotides. It matches the Rfam family "MIR812 microRNA precursor family". The record is from Rfam. Lineage: Eukaryota; Viridiplantae; Streptophyta; Magnoliopsida; Poales; Poaceae.